This is an RNA transcript of Serinus canaria (Common canary), 5766 nucleotides long. It is a transcript of the gene named solute carrier family 16 member 12, with no coding region annotated. The record is from RefSeq and is a predicted model, not a curated record. Lineage: Eukaryota; Metazoa; Chordata; Aves; Passeriformes; Fringillidae. The transcript is spliced from 9 exons.
GGGGGGACACAGCGGGGACACAGGGCGGCCGGGGCGAGGAGCGGGGCGGACAGCGCGGCUCCCCGGCGGCGCGGCUGCAGCCAAGGCGCUUUCGUGCCCUGCCUGUGUCGUGGAGCCUUAGAACUGCGGAAACCUUGAAAAAUCAAUAAAAAUUACUGUAAACGCCAGUAUUUGAUGACGGAAUGUAUAUAUAUAUAUACACAUACAUACAUAUAUGUAUAUGUAUAGAUAUGUAUGUGUAUAUAUAUAAGCUGUUGGUUAGGUAAGAUGCUGGUCAGAUAAACAGAAUUUAAGGAUAAUCAGCGUUUCAAGUUGCGAGACGGUAUGAGGAAGCUCAGGUAUCUUUUAUUUCUGUUGCAUAAGCAGAACGAAUGUACCUGUUCCGAGGCAGGUGUGAGAGGCAGGGCUGCGCCUUGCCGCUGUCCCCGUGCGUGCGGACGCGCGGCUGUCACCGGGAUGCCCGCGCACGGUUCUGUGUGUGUUUGUGUGUUCGUGGGUUUGUGUUUGUGUGUGCUUGUGUUCGUGUGUUUGUGCUUGCGAGCGGCUCCCUGAACGGCUCCGAAAGCCCAGGCACGGGCUGCUCCAUGACCGGCUGCCCUCUGGCCUUCCGCAGGGCCAGUUAGCUGUGGAAGUAGCUAAUCACAUAUCCUGAGCAGCCUGGAUAUCCCAGUGUAUUUCCUGGAGAAUUCUUAGUCUCUUUUAGGACAACCAGGUGUGCAGUAAUAGACUCGGGCUAAGUGGUCUUGCAGGAAAUUGUGUGUUCACAGGCUGACUAAACUCAGGGAGUCUAUUCAAUGAAAAAAAGAAGCCAAAAGAUACAGUGAGUAUUAUCCUUAUUUUGAACUUUCUGAUAAUUUGCUGCUCAUGUAUCAACCUGUUCUGUUUAAUAUCUCUACAGGUAAGUUGUCAGUUAGGUAUUUGGGAUGAAUUUGGGUUUUUGUUAUAGCAUUCUGACUGAAUUGAUUUCAUUAACUUAACAAGCUGCUUGGAACAGCUGAGUCUGUUGGUUGUUUUAAGUCCACUCCUGCAAUGGCAAUGAGGAAACGUUUCUGUUAGUGCUGGGAAAUUGGAGGAUAACGUGAAACUUAAUGAAGUGAAACAGGAUUGCAUUUUCCUCAGAGUGAUUCUAUUAUGCCUCAUUUAGGGCCUCAUGUUAUUGCUCACCUCAAAUCAUUAGCUGUUACAGUCUUUUUGUAUUUCUGUUUUUAGUGCUAUGAAGCUCAUAAUUUGUUCUUGUUUUAUAUUUUUUUCAGUUGCAUUGUGUUUAAUGUUUACUUUUCCAUUUUUUGCAGCAGUGUAACAGAAGCUGUAUUUUAAUGGAAGGUUUCUCUGGGCUUCCCUAAGGGGUUUCCACGUUAAUGCCUUUAAAAUUCAAUCAUUAACUUUUGCCUUCACCUGAAGGUGGAAAGUGAUGAUGAAAAACAAUAUAGCACAGUGUGUAAUUUGAUUUUACAAAGCUUCAUCAGAAUUGAUUUAGCUGAUAUGUAAACAGGGGAAAACUCAGGAACUUUCUUUUUGCCCCAGCUUGCCCAUUCACUUCAGCUUCAAGCUGUGCACCGUUCACCUGCAGCUGCCCUGCUGCAGCACAGGCUCAGGACUGAUGGGAUUUGCUGAGCUGGUUCUUGUCCGCAGCUGUGAGGAAGGGGACGAGGACACCCCCAGGGAUCCCUUCCGGAUCCGUAUUCCCAGGCCAAGGUCCAACAGACUGGGCACAGGGGGGGAAGAUUUUUCAGAUGCUUUGGUGCAAACACAAUUGCUUCCUGAGGGAGAGAUUUGGCAUGUGUUUCCUGAGAGAACCGUGCUUGCGUCAGCAGCCCCCUGCCACCCUCUGAGCUGGACGAGCACAACUGUGUGUGGGGCUCCUGGGGAACUGCAUGGGGGGCCUGCACUGGGUUCAAAAGCACCUUUUCUUCUUUUUUAUUCAUAACUUUUUACCCUGGUCGGUCUGACAGUGUGGCUGCUGUGUCAAGGGCUGAGGAGGUGGCCUGAAAGGAAGGGACACAUGGCAGGAGGCAGGAGAUGGCCGCAGCCCCAUGUGCUGGGCAGCCCGGGCCCGCGCCGCCCGUGAGGGCCGCAGCCAGGCGCUGUCCCUGAGGCGAGGAGCGCAGUCACCGCCAUGGCCUCUGCCCGCCGGGCCCGGCACGCCGGCCCUCCCGACGGCGGCUGGGGAUGGAUGAUUGUUGCUGGCUGCUUCCUCGUCACGAUCUGCACCAGGGCAGUGACAAGGUGCAUCUCCAUUUUUUUUGUGGAGUUUCAGGCAUACUUUGGGCAGGAUUAUGCCAGAACUGCUUGGAUCCACUCCAUUGUUGACUGUGCUACGAUGCUUUGUGCCCCGCUUGGGAGUUUAAUCAGUAAUCAUGUAUCCUGCCAAGUUGGUAUCAUGCUAGGAGGGCUGCUUGCAUCUACUGGACUAAUUUUGAGCUCAUUCGCCACCAGUCUGGAGCAUCUCUACUUAUCAUUAGGAGUCCUCACAGGGCUUGGGUUUGCACUUUGUUAUUCUCCAGCCAUUGCAAUGGUGGGCAAAUACUUCAACAAAAGGAAAGCGCUGGCCUAUGGAAUAGCCAUGUCAGGAAGUGGAAUUGGUACCUUCAUCCUGGCCCCUGUGGUCCAGCUCUUAAUUGAGCAGUUUUCCUGGCGAGGAGCUUUGCUCAUCCUGGGAGGUUUUGUACUAAAUCUCUGUGUCUGUGGUGCCUUGAUGCGGCCUAUUUCUCUUAAGGAGGAUUGCAAAACUGCUCCUGAGUUGCUUGAACAGAAUUAUGUCACUGAAACGGAGAAACAAGACUUAAAGCGAAUGUCCAUCUGUUCACCUUUAAUCAAAUUAUGGCCUCAUGAAUGUUUAUGCUACUGUUCAUGGAAGGAAUAUGACUUUUUGCUGAUGCCAGGCUUCAUGGUGCUGGCAGUGUCAAUUUUAUUUAUGGCAUAUGGCUGCAGCCCUCUUUUUGUCUACCUAGUGCCUUAUGCUUUGAGUGUGGGAGUGAGUCAUCACCAGGCUGCCUUCCUCAUGUCCAUACUUGGUGUCAUAGACAUCAUUGGUAAUAUCACCUUUGGAUGGCUCACAGACAGAAGGUGCCUGAAGAAACAUCGGUACUUUUGCUACCUCUUUGCUGUAGGAAUGGAUGGCCUUUCUUGUCUUUUCCUGCCAGUUCUCCAAAGCUUCCCCUUGCUUGUGCCUUUCUCAUUUACCUUUGGCUACUUCGAUGGGGCCUAUGUCACACUGAUCCCUGUUGUGACAGCAGAUGCAGUGGGAACUCCUUUGUUAUCAUCAGCACUGGGCGUUGUGUAUUUUCUUCAUGCCAUACCAUAUCUAGUGAGCCCACCUGUGGCAGGUUGGCUUGUGGACACAACUGGCAGCUAUACUGCAUCAUUUCUCCUGUGUGGAUUUUCUAUGAUAUUUAGCUCAGCACUAUUGUGUUUUGCAAGACUAGCAAAGAAAAUCAAAAGAACACAUUUGCCAUCCCUCACUGGUAACACAACCUUGAAACAGCACAUCUGGACAAAUGGAGCAAUAGCUUAUUCUGUCACAGCAGAAUUAGACCAAAGGGAUGUUGAAUUUUUGGCUGUGGAUUCAAACAGCUUCAGCAACAGCCCUGAUGGACACAAGCAUUGAUGGAAAUGCUCAGCUGAAGCACUGCACUGCUGAGCCUGUCUGGCUCCCCAGGACAGCGUGGUGGGACUUGGCUUGGGGUAACAUCUGUCCAACUCAGAUUCUACCUCAGAUGGAUCCUACCUGGGAUUAUGCUCUGUUCUGUGCAGUGGAUGGAAGUUCAGUGUAACUCCAACUCAACCUGCUCCCCAUGUCGGCAUGCCAGGCAAUGCAGCAGCACCACCCUGUGGGAAAUAACAUUUUUCCUCAUUUACAAGACAGGCAAAAUCCAGAAGGCUGGAUACCUGGGAGCACCCCCAGGCAUCUGUGGUCUGGAGCAGUCCUGCAGAGUACAAAGGAGGUGAGGCACAACAAAUACACUUUCUGCAUUACUAUGUCUCACAGUUUCCUUACUGUGCAGAUUGAGCUGCUAUGACUCUUCAUAAAAAUUCAAACUCACAUUUUUUUCCCAAAAUAAUUUAUACCUUAUCUUUAUUUCUUCAAGGUUCUUUUUUCAGGAGAUAUCCUGGUGGCAGCGUAGAGGGGAGAAUGGAUGUGUCACUAUGGCUUGCAUCACCUCUUCCUCAAAUUCUUCCCAGCUGCCCUCCACCCUCCAUGCCCUCAUGGAGUUUAGAUAGCACUGAUGAUGAGCUUAGAAGCCCUCAAGGUUCACAAAGGCAGUGAGGCUGUCUAAGAGAACCUUUUGUCCCCAUAGCUGGGCACACCAAUGUCGUGUCACCAGUUCCUGACUUUGCCCCCACUGCUGUUGCAGCUUCCAGGAGUGGUCUGUCGGAACUGUUCCCAGUCCUUCUGUUCUCCCUCCUCACCCCUCCUUCCCUAGGCAGGGUUGCCAUUGUAUGUAAGAGAGAAUCUGGCAGGUGACUGGGACAAGGGUGGAUUUUGCUCCAGCGGUUUCUUAGGAAGAGGGUGUUUGCAAUUAUGUACACUUGAUUGCUUUUGCUUGUGUUAUGAAAGAUUCUCUGAAGGAGAGCUGAGAAGGAAGAGGUUUAUUGUUAUUUUGUGAUCUGGCAUUGGUGUUUUGCAAUCCUUCAUGGCUUGUCAUCCUGUCUGUACAGGGGUGCUGUUGUGGGUGCAGGAACACUCCAGGAUGGCUAGAAACUAAAGUGCACAUCCUUCUUGAUGGACUCUGUCACCAGUUUGCUUCAUGCUACACUAGUGGCUUGGGUUCAGACGUGUUUUGGAAGUAGAGCAUUAGUUUUCCCUGAGUACUAUGCUCUAUCAAACACAGGGACACUGCUGGGAAAUUAGAACAGGAUACUACAAACAAUAUCAAAAUAUAGUUGGACAGCUGAAGACUUUUGGCAUUUCAGUGCUUUCUUCCAACUAUUUAGAUCGUAUGGGCACCUGUGGCAGCUCAGAGUCCUGCCACUGAAGGGACAGCCCUGUAAUCUAGGAGGAGCAGAAACAAGCUAGGAGAAACCUCCCUCUAAGUUUAGGGUGAGAAAAGCCUCCCUCUCACAGGCCUCUGCAGGCACAUGUUAAUAUUUCCAGUUUCGUUGGCUCUCCCAGCUGUUCCACCCCUGUUAUCCCAUUCAUCCCCCUAGUUUGCUGCCCCUCCCCUGCAUCACUUUUCCCUGUUCCCAUUGAUACUCAGCCCUCAGAGCCACCCCUUUUCCCCAUAUUUAACCCUGUACCCUCCACCCUCUUCUGUCUCUGUCCAUGGACCUUCUUGGGGGGAAUAAACAGCCUUUGGAUCUCCAAACAGAGACCUGUCCUUUGCCUUUCUUCAUUAGCUUUUUUGCAAGUGUGCUCCAGGCCCUGAAAGCGCAGGUUUCUCUCUGGGACUUGUUGAAGUGCGCUGCUUCAGGCACCCACCCCUUUUUCCACAUGCCCCUUGUGCUCUGUGGUGUUCACCCAACUCUGCCCUGGUUGUGCUCUCCCCUCCAUGUCCAGUUCAUGUCAUUUCUUGUGUGUUUGCAAUCCCUGACAUUUUUGAUGAGCAUGGUCAUAGCCAUCUAUUUGGCAUCUCAAAGACUGUCCUUCCUUCCUCUCCAGGUGUUUGCUGUUGUGGUUCCUGAUAGGGUGUUUUGGGUAAACUAGACAGAUGCUGUUUUGUGCACAGUUUAAUUAUUUUGUGCAAUGCCCCUGAAGCCAGUUUUGCUGUGAGGUCAGGGAAAAUAAAAGGGGCUGUCUCCUCAGCCUUUCAUAUCCUACCAAAACUU